AUUGAACGCUGGCGGCAGGCCUAACACAUGCAAGUCGAGCGGACGAAGGAAGCCUUCUCUUGCAUUCAGCGGAGGACGGGUGUGUAAUGCCUAGGAAUCUGCCUGGUUGUGGGGCAUAACAUCCGGAAACGGCCGCUAAUAACGCAUACGACCUGAGCGUGAAAUUGAGUGUUCUUCGGUCAUCACGCUAUCAGAUGAGCCUCGGUCGGAUCAGCUAGUUGGUAGGGUAAAUGCCUACCAAGGCGACGAUCCGUAACUGGUCUGAGAGGAUGAUCAGUCACACUGGAACUGGGACACGGUCCAGACUCCUACGGGAGGCAGCAGUGGGGAAUUUUGGGCAAUGGGCGAAAGCCUGACGCAGCAAUGCCGCGGGUGUGAGGAAGGUCUUCGGAUGGUAAAGCACUUUAAGUUGGGAGGAAGGGAAGUAAGGUGACACGUUGACAUUUUGACGGUACCUACAGAGAAAGCAACGGCUAACUACGUG
This 484-nucleotide ribosomal RNA is filed under the name uncultured bacterium. RNAcentral's name for it is "partial 16S ribosomal RNA". It matches the Rfam family "Bacterial small subunit ribosomal RNA", at positions 30 to 507 of the family's 1533-position model. The record is from RNAcentral.